AAAGUUCAUUUUGUAAAAAGUUUAUUUGUCAUAUACAUAUAUAUAUAUGUUUUACAUUCAUAACAAACAUGAAUCAAAUAAACAAAUUUUGAUCCCAACUCUAUUAUCGUUCACUCAUCAUUUAUACAUCAACAAUCUCUACAGACACAGCAGAGAUGAAACAUAAUAGUAAACAGUUUCUGCAAACAUGACAUCCACUGAAUCAAAAUGUGAACAGCUUCUACAAAUAUGGUGGCCAUUGAAACAAAAUUGUAAACAUUUCUGAAUGGCAGCCACUGAAUCUAAAUUGUAAACAAUUUCUAGAAACAUUUCAGUAAUAGAAACUUAAUGGUAAUUAGUUGCUGCAUGGUGGCCACAUGAUCUAAAUUGUAAAGUUUUUGCAUGUCAGCCACUGAAUCUAAAUUGUUAACAGUUUCUGCAUGGCAGCCACUGAAUCUAAAUUGUUAACAGUUUCUGCAUGGCAGCCACUUUAUCUAAAUUGUAAACAUUUUCUGCAAACAUUGCAGCCACAGAAUCUAACUUGUUAACAAUCUCUGCAAAUAUUGCUAUCAUUGGAACUAAAUUGUAAAAUAUUUCUGCAUGGCAGCCACUGAAUCCAAAUUGUUAACAGUUUUUGAAUGGCAGCCACCAUAUCUAAAUUGUUAACAUUUCUGCAUGACAGCCACUGAGUCUAAAUUGUUAACAUUUUCUGCAUGGCAGUCACUGAAUCUAAAGUGGUUAACAGUUUCUGCAUGCGACUAUUGAAUCUAAAGUGUUAAGUUUCUGCAUGGCAGUCACUGAAUCUAAAGUGUUAACAGUUUCUGCAUGGCAGCUAUUGAAUCUAAAGUGUUAACAGUUUCUGAAUGGCAGCCACUUUAUCUAAAUUGUAAACAUUUUCUGCAAACAUUGCAGCCACA
This 896-nucleotide long non-coding RNA is filed under the name Mytilus galloprovincialis (Mediterranean mussel). The record is from RNAcentral. Lineage: Eukaryota; Metazoa; Mollusca; Bivalvia; Mytilida; Mytilidae.